Oncorhynchus keta (chum salmon) is the source of this 609-nucleotide long non-coding RNA. RefSeq lists it as uncharacterized. The record is from RefSeq and is a predicted model, not a curated record. The transcript has 2 exons. NCBI's taxonomy places the organism in Eukaryota, Metazoa, Chordata, Actinopteri, Salmoniformes, Salmonidae.
AUCUCUCUGUAAAAUGCCAUGUCUGUAGGUCUCUCUGUUUCACUCUCUCUUUUGUAUUGACCUCUCUUUUGUUUGAGCACCUCCAUAUCACUUUGUCCUCACCUAGUUAUUUGUUCCUGUCUACACGAUGUACUGAGAACCCAGCUGGCUGUAUGGAUAUCCCAAGAGAGCCAUGUUUCCGUGAAACAAUUCCUGAUGUCUCUCUGGAAGGAGAUCCUCACCCUGAGCUCAUCUACUUUAUUAUCCAGAGACUGAACAUUAGUGAGUAAUAUACUCUGAAGCGGUGGAGGAUGUGCACGCCUCCUGAGUCAGACUAGAAGUCCACUCUGAAUACCUCUUCUCCACCGUCGUUGUUUUGGAGCAGCCUCUGGAAUAAGUUGAAUUGGUCUUUAGCUUUUUCAAGUACAUAAGCACUAAUUUUCAUUUAACAGGUCCAUUCAGUCCAUUAACUUUCAAUGAUGUAUGAUUUACUGUCUUAGCCAGGAAUAUGUCCAAAAAGGGUGUCGGAUAUUCUUUUGCUUAUUUUCAGUGAGCCUGUAGUCAAACACAUCAUAUAAAGUAAACGUCUGUCAGAAAAAAUUACUGUAACAUAAAGAAAACAAAACAAUC